CCAGCCUCACUUAAACUCAUAUCCCACAAGCAUCAAUCACAUUUCCCCUUUCAUGCUUCUGCUUUGUACCAAAAAAAAAAGUCAAAACUCAUUCGGACAAUGAUCUGCAACAUCUUCAAUUGUAGUAAAUGAAGUUUGUACUGUCCUCACCUACUUAACUAAUUAGUAACAAAUCUUGGAGAUUAAAUCACCAUAUUUUGCUUCUAAGGUUAGCCAUCUCUUCACACCUUCUCAAUCCCUUUCACUCAAACUUCAUUAAUUUAUGCAUCCAUCAAUGAAAAGCCAAAAAGCUUCAUGCCCUUCGAUACUUUUACAUUCACAAAUCGUAAAUUGCUUUCCCUUCUUCCUUGAUCUCUUGAUCUAACAUUACGGGGACAAAUGGCAAUAGUUACGACUUACAACGUGUUUCUAAGCUUUAACAAGAUUUCUACAAAUAUGAAUUUUGCCCGCCCUUCGAAAAUUUCCUUUUAAGGCAUGCGAAUUGGAUGUGAUGAGUUAUCGUUCUCGUGGAUGCAUGUUAGGCACGCGAAUUGGAUGAUCGAACACAAGGAGACUUGUAGGCCAAUGUUGAGGUUUGCAAACUCAGAUGGCAUGGGAUACGAAACAAGUCGAUCAAAACCUAAAACAGGUUCAAGCAAAGGCAGUUAGUGAAUCUGGCAAGUCAACUUACAUUUAUGGUCGGUUUAGCAAUAGAUUUCUGUAUGUUUAAGUUUUAAGUUAAAUGGUAGCAACUUUGUAUAAAAGCUGUAGAAUACCCCUAUGCGUUGCGAGGGGCAUUCUGUCAUAUCGGUUCCGUUCAUUACAGUAGCAAUACAUUACCAGCACUCGGUAUCACUAUCGAAAGUCAUGAGUCCAACAAAUUAUAUUUAAUAGCAUAAAUGUCAUCACUACGUUGCUCUU
This is a long non-coding RNA of Helianthus annuus (common sunflower), 900 nucleotides long. RefSeq lists it as uncharacterized. The transcript is spliced from 2 exons. The record is from RefSeq and is a predicted model, not a curated record. NCBI's taxonomy places the organism in Eukaryota, Viridiplantae, Streptophyta, Magnoliopsida, Asterales, Asteraceae.